Non-coding RNA from Ornithorhynchus anatinus (platypus), 1023 nucleotides. Lineage: Eukaryota; Metazoa; Chordata; Mammalia; Monotremata; Ornithorhynchidae. The record is from the annotation of a RefSeq genome assembly.
GCUGGGGAUGGGACUGCUCAGCUUCGAUCAGGUCAGGCAUAUCGAGAUGGUGACCCCGUCCCAGCUCCUCGGGCUUCUGCUCCUCUGGAUCCCGGAGUCGAGAGGGCAGAUUGUACUGACCCAAACUCCGGAAUCUUUGGCCAAGGCUCCAGGAGAGUCAGCCACCAUCAAAUGUAAAGCCAGUUCCAGUGUUAGUAGUUAUCUGCACUGGUACCAGCAGAAACCUGGACAAGCCCCUAAGCUGAUCAUUAAGCAGGUCACCACCCUGAUGCCUGGGAUCCCGGCCCGGUUCAGUGGCAGUGGUUCUGGGACAGAUUUCACUCUCAGCAUCAAUAGUGUGGAAGCUGGUGAUGCUGCAGACUAUUACUGUCAGCAGAGUAACAGCUGGCCUCUUACUUUCGGCAAAGGGACCAAACUGGAGAUCAAACGUAGAGAAAAUGCCAGGCCAUCUGUUUUCAUCUUCCACCCAUCUGAGGAGCAGCUGACCCAGGGCUCAGCCUCCAUCGUAUGCUUGGUGAACAACUUCUACCCACAAAAUGCCAAAGUCCAGUGGAAGUUAGACAACAAGCCCACUGAAUCGGGGGUCCUGACCAGCACCACGGCCCAGGAUUCCAAAGACAGCACGUACAGCCUAAGCAGCACGCUGUCUCUUAGCAAGGCCGAAUACGAGAAGCACAACCAGUAUUCCUGUGAGAUCACUCAUGAAACUCUGACGUCACCCCUCGUCAAGUCCUUCCAAAGGAAUGAGUGUUAAAGUCAGGGGCCUCCAGGGGAUGUGCCAGCUCCCCACUCUUUGCCCUUUCCUCCCCAUUUCAAUGCCUCCUCUUUCUCCCUAUUGAGAAAACUAUUGUUCUCCUGUUCAGGAGUGUGUGCUCCAGUCGGGAGCGGGGAUCUUUCCUGGUCUUCAGGUUGCUCAGUACCCUGUGGAAGAGCCACCCUGUGGCCUAGCCAUUCUUCUCCUUCAUCCUUUUCUGCUUUUAUCAUGUCAAUAUUGGAAAACUUUAAUAAAGUGAAUGAAAAGGC